UACGUAGGGGGCGAGCGUUGUCCGGAAUCAUUGGGCGUAAAGCGCGUGUAGGCGGUCCGGUAAGUCCGCUGUGAAAGCCCGGGGCUCAACCUCGGAACGGCAUUCGAUACGGGACGGCUGGAGACCGGGAGAGGAGAGUGGAAUAGCCAGUGUAGAGGUGAAAUUCGUAGAUAUUGGCUGGAACACCAGUGGCGAAGGCGGCUACCUGGACCGGUUCUGACGCUGAGGCGCGAAAGCGUGGGUAGCAAACAGG
Molecule: ribosomal RNA, 253 nt
Filed under: uncultured bacterium
Lineage: Bacteria
Description: partial 16S ribosomal RNA
Rfam family: Bacterial small subunit ribosomal RNA
Source: RNAcentral